UGGAUACACUCACCUAGAGGCCUGGGGACCACAGUGUUACAAGGGUGACUCCACAUCCUGGCCUGCUCCUUGGGUACGACAGUUCCCAUGCACGCUGGGAGAUUGCAUUUCCCAAAUUCCAUUGUAAUUAGGCUGGCGCCUCACAAGUGGGUUUUGACCAAUGGAACGUGGCGAGAAGAGGUGCAGGCUGCUUCCAGGCCUGGCAUGAAACCCUGUGUGCGGUGGCCCAUGCUCUCUUCCCCUUCUGCGACAACUUGGAGGGCUGCAUGUUUAAGAUGGUGGCAACACAGAGGGAAGGAGCUUAGAUUCCCGAGUCACGUGCCUACAAUCUGCUCUGGAUGUGCCUGGGUGAGCCCUGCGUACAACGUAGCUGGUCCUGAACACAGCAUUGCUUCUGUGAUAUUCCUGCCAAAGACAUAUCAGCGUGAAUUUGAUUGUGGUGAAACAUCAGCCAAAACCAAAUUAAUAGGCAUUGUAUAAAAUCAGUUGCCUCACUCUUCAAAAGUUUCAGAGUCAUGGAAGCCACUGGAAGACUGAGGAACUGUUUCAUGUUGGAGGACAAUAAAGGCAUAUGAGUUUGCAUUCUCAAGGCCCUUGAAUGGAAGGAUCCUGAGGUUUUAUCUGGUCAUAUCCCACAGAAAAAUCUAUGCAUUGACCCCUGAUUUUUGGACCUAAAGAGACCUUGGUAAGGAAUGAGCCCAGUCCUUCUUUUUCUGGACCCAUCAGGUCUACUGAAUUGGAUCGCACAACUUCCAAUACAUUUUUUGCUGCCUGAAUAAGAUGAGCAAGGAAAUAAAAAUAUCUGGGUCUUGAGUAUACUGGCUAUGUGACUUUCAGUUUCUAUGCACAUUAAUGUUCUCAAUAAUGAGUCUAAUUCUCAUCCACGGGUUUACUGACUUAUGGGUUAGAUAAUGUCUCCUCAAAUUCAUAUGUUAAAGUCCUAACCCGUAGUAUUUCAGAAUGUAACUGUAUUUGGAGAUAAAGUCUUUAAUUUAAGUAGGUAAUUAGGUUAAAAUAAGGUCUUUAGGGUGGGCCCUGAUUCAAUAUGACCAGUGUCCUUACAAGAAGAGGAAAUUUGGGCACAGACAUGUACAUGCAUGGAGGAAAGACCAUGUGAAGAUACUGGAAGGAGAAAGCCAUCUCCAAGCUACGGAGAGAAGCCUCAGAAUGAAACCAACUCUGUCCACACCAUGAUCUUGGCCCUCAGGCCUCCAGAACGAUUGGGAAAUACAUUUAUGUUGUUGAAGCUACCCCAGUCUCUGUUCCUUUGUUAUGACAGCCCUAGGAGACUAAUGCAGAUUUUGGUACAAGGAAUAGGGUGCUGCCGUAACAAAUACCUGAAAAUGUGCAAGUGGCUUCAGGACUGGGUAACAAGUUGAGGCUAGAAGAGUUUUGAGGCCAUAUUAGAAAAACCUAGAUGGCUUUGAAGAGACCGUUGAUAGAAAUAUGGACAUUAAAGGUUCUUCUGGCGAGGCCUAAGUUGGAAAUGAGGAACGUGUUAUUGGGCACGGGAGGAAAGAUGAUCGUGGUUAUAAAGUGGCAAAGAACUUGACUGAACUGCAUUCCAGUGCUUUGUGGAAAGUAAAACUUGCAAGUGAUGACCUUGGGUAUUUAGAUGAGAUUUCUAAGGAAAGUCUUGAAGGUGCGGCCUGGUUUCUCUUCACCACUUUGUAGCAGAAUGUGAAAGCACAAAGCUAAGUUGAAGAAGGAGUUGUUAAGCACAAAGGAACCAGAAUUUGAAGAUUUGGAAAAUUCUCAAUCAUCCAUAUUGCGAUACGUGAAUAUAGUGUUUUUUACGUUGUAGGGCAGCUAUGAGGAUUUAAUGUGAUAGGUUAUGUGUACUGUAAGAACUUUAUAAACUGUUCCACAAAAAUAAGGAGCUAUAAUACAUCUUAGAUAUUUUGCUAUAAUACAUCUUAGAUAUCUUCCUCAUGAGGUCAAGGAGGAGGAAAAUAUCAACAUUAUUUUUUUUUCACUUGGGAUAUUUGAGGUCUAGAGAGAUGAAGUGAUUUAUACAUAAUGUCAUAGAGUUACAGGACCUGGAUAAGGUUUGUGUCUUUAAAGUCUUAAUCCAACACCUUUCUAAUAUCAUGUUCUCUCAUGUCAAAGGCUUCUAGACUUUCAGCAAAUAAGAUCAACAAGCAUUUAAUCACAUACCCUUAACAGCACAUAGAUAGAAAUAGUAAGGAAUACAAAAUAAGCAGAAGGCACAGUCUUUUCUCCAUAGUAUCUAGAAAGCAAAAAAUAAACAUAUGUCUUAGCUAAUAAACUACAUAGCAAUCUUGGAAUAAUGCGUUUUCAGUUUUCCACACUCAUUGAUUAACUUCUAAAGGCAGGUUGGUGAUCUCCAUGACAUUUUUUGGAAAAAUGACAAAACACAGAUUUAGAAUCUUAAAAGCAUCUAUAUAUUUUUUUGUUGUUGUUGUUUGGCAUAGAUGCAUUUUCCUCCCUUAUAAUUUCUAUGAUUGUCUUGGAAGGAGCAGGUUUUCAAAUCAGAGGCUGAUGUCACUGUCUGAAGGUCCUGCCAAGUGUAAACAUUUCUGAUGGAGUAUAUUAGUAAAUUUGGUCACUGAUGUAAUUAAAAAUGGUCCCAGGAAUUGCAAAAGUA
Molecule: long non-coding RNA, 2608 nt
Organism: Microcebus murinus (gray mouse lemur)
Lineage: Eukaryota; Metazoa; Chordata; Mammalia; Primates; Cheirogaleidae
Source: RefSeq, a predicted model, not a curated record